UACGGAGGAUCCAAGCGUUAUCCGGAUUCAUUGGGUUUAAAGGGUCCGUAGGCGGAUUUUUAAGUCAGAGGUGAAAGCCUGCAGCUCAACUGUGGAACUGCCUUUGAUACUGGAAAUCUUGAGUGUGCGUGAAGUAGGCGGAAUAAGUCAUGUAGCGGUGAAAUGCAUAGAUAUGACUUAGAACACCGAUUGCGAAGGCAGCUUACUAAAGCACUACUGACGCUGAGGGACGAAAGCGUGGGGAGCGAACAGG
RNAcentral lists this ribosomal RNA (253 nucleotides) under uncultured bacterium. Its description in RNAcentral is "partial 16S ribosomal RNA". It matches the Rfam family "Bacterial small subunit ribosomal RNA", at positions 524 to 776 of the family's 1533-position model. The record is from RNAcentral.